Molecule: ribosomal RNA, 845 nt
Filed under: Staphylococcus aureus
Lineage: Bacteria; Bacillati; Bacillota; Bacilli; Caryophanales; Staphylococcaceae
Description: partial 23S ribosomal RNA
Rfam family: Bacterial large subunit ribosomal RNA
Source: RNAcentral
AGAUUAAGUUAUUAAGGGCGCACGGUGGAUGCCUUGGCACUAGAAGCCGAUGAAGGACGUUACUAACGACGAUAUGCUUUGGGGAGCUGUAAGUAAGCUUUGAUCCAGAGAUUUCCGAAUGGGGAAACCCAGCAUGAGUUAUGUCAUGUUAUCGAUAUGUGAAUACAUAGCAUAUCAGAAGGCACACCCGGAGAACUGAAACAUCUUAGUACCCGGAGGAAGAGAAAGAAAAUUCGAUUCCCUUAGUAGCGGCGAGCGAAACGGGAAGAGCCCAAACCAACAAGCUUGCUUGUUGGGGUUGUAGGACACUCUAUACGGAGUUACAAAGGACGACAUUAGACGAAUCAUCUGGAAAGAUGAAUCAAAGAAGGUAAUAAUCCUGUAGUCGAAAAUGUUAUCUCUCUUGAGUGGAUCCUGAGUACGACGGAGCACGUGAAAUUCCGUCGGAAUCUGGGAGGACCAUCUCCUAAGGCUAAAUACUCUCUAGUGACCGAUAGUGAACCAGUACCGUGAGGGAAAGGUGAAAAGCACCCCGGAAGGGGAGUGAAAUAGAACCUGAAACCGUGUGCUUACAAGUAGUCAGAGCCCGUUAAUGGGUGAUGGCGUGCCUUUUGUAGAAUGAACCGGCGAGUUACGAUUUGAUGCAAGGUUAAGCAGUAAAUGUGGAGCCGUAGCGAAAGCGAGUCUGAAUAGGGCGUUUAGUAUUUGGUCGUAGACCCGAAACCAGGUGAUCUACCCUUGGUCAGGUUGAAGUUCAGGUAACACUGAAUGGAGGACCGAACCGACUUACGUUGAAAAGUGAGCGGAUGAACUGAGGGUAGCGGAGAAAUUCCAAUCGAACCUGG